This 446-nucleotide long non-coding RNA is filed under the name Lepidothrix coronata (blue-crowned manakin). Its description in RNAcentral is "lncRNA (ENSLCOG00000008055.1)". Lineage: Eukaryota; Metazoa; Chordata; Aves; Passeriformes; Pipridae. The record is from RNAcentral.
CUUGUCAUACUUCUGAAUCAAAUGAAGAUCCAGAACAAUUUAAAGAAAAGAUACUGUUUGAAAUUGAAAACGAAGUCUUGCAGAUUACUGCAACACCUACUUAUAGUCAAUCCACCAGUGAUGAACUGGUCACUGAUGACCACUUACUUACAGGAUGACAAAAUCAUCAUAGGAAUUUGUAUCAAAAAAUACCACCAAAAAAACUAUUUAAAUAAUUAUUAAUAGAAAUUGUAAACCAGAUUGGAGGCACUAAGCAGGUUCUGCUUUGACUAUAGCUUCUUUGGGUUUAUUUUAGUAGUCACAUUGGCUGGGAAUGUUUCCUUUUCCGUGGCUUUAGGAUAAGUUGAACUGGAGUGUAUGAGUUGUAAAAGCCUCACUAAUAGCCACAGAAGACAUCUUGUAUAGUCGUGCAGUAUGCAUUGUUAGAAUAAGCAUAAUAGUUGCAG